RNAcentral lists this non-coding RNA (129 nucleotides) under unclassified sequences. Its description in RNAcentral is "EFASI RNA". It matches the Rfam family "EFASI RNA". The record is from Rfam by way of RNAcentral.
CUGAACCGAUACCUGCGGCAGGCUUUCAGCCUGGGGAACGUUCCUGCUGACGCAGGCGGUUGCACUGAGUGCAUAACCGGUUCCCGUGAUACCCAAACCCCAGACACUCCGGCGCACAGGUAUUGUUCA